GCGCAUGCGCAGACGGACCUGCGCUGGAGGCUUCAUCUUUGCCGCCGCUGCCGUCGCCUUCCUGGGAUUGGAGUCUCGAGCUUUCUUCGUUCGUUCGUCGGCGGGUUCGCGCCCUUCUCGCGCCUCGGGGCUGCGAGGCUGGGGAAGGGGUUGGAGGGGGCUGUUGAUCGCCGCGUUUAAGUUGCGCUCGGGGCGGCCAUGUCGGCCGGCGAGGUCGAGCGCCUAGUGUCGGAGCUGAGCGGCGGGACCGGAGGGGAUGAGGAGGAAGAGUGGCUCUAUGGCGGCCCAUGGGACGUGCAUGUGCACAGUGAUUUGGCAAAGGACCUAGAUGAAAAUGAAGUUGAAAGGCCAGAAGAAGAAAAUGCCAGUGCUAAUCCUCCAUCUGGAAUUGAAGAUGAAACUGCUGAAAAUGGUGUACCAAAACCGAAAGUGACUGAGACCGAAGAUGAUAGUGAUAGUGACAGCGAUGAUGAUGAAGAUGAUGUUCAUGUCACUAUAGGAGACAUUAAAACGGGAGCACCACAGUAUGGGAGUUAUGGUACAGCACCUGUAAAUCUUAACAUCAAGACAGGGGGAAGAGUUUAUGGAACUACAGGGACAAAAGUCAAAGGAGUAGACCUUGAUGCACCUGGAAGCAUUAAUGGAGUUCCACUCUUAGAGGUAGAUUUGGAUUCUUUUGAAGAUAAACCAUGGCGUAAACCUGGUGCUGAUCUUUCUGAUUAUUUUAAUUAUGGGUUUAAUGAAGAUACCUGGAAAGCUUACUGUGAAAAACAAAAGAGGAUACGAAUGGGACUUGAAGUUAUACCAGUAACCUCUACUACAAAUAAAAUUACGGCCGAAGACUGUACUAUGGAAGUUACACCAGGUGCAGAGAUCCAAGAUGGCAGAUUCAAUCUUUUUAAGAAUUUCACUCUUGUUGCCCAUGCUGGAGUGCAAUGGUGUGAUCUUGGCUCACUGCAACCUCUACCUCCUGGGUUCAAGUGAUUCUCCUGCCUCAGCCGCCCGAGUAGCUGGGAUUACAGGUACAGCAGGGAAGAACUGGAAACUCAGAGAAAGAAACUGCCCUUCCAUCUACAAAAGCUGAGUUUACUUCUCCUCCUUCUUUGUUCAAGACUGGGCUUCCACCGAGCAGAAACAGCACUUCUUCUCAGUCUCAGACAAGUACUGCCUCCAGAAAAGCCAAUUCAAGCGUUGGGAAGUGGCAGGAUCGAUAUGGGAGGGCCGAAUCACCUGAUCUAAGGAGAUUACCUGGGGCAAUUGAUGUUAUCGGUCAGACUAUAACUAUCAGCCGAGUAGAAGGCAGGCGACGGGCAAAUGAGAACAGCAACAUACAGGUCCUUUCUGAAAGAUCUGCUACUGAAGUAGACAACAAUUUUAGCAAACCACCUCCGUUUUUCCCUCCAGGAGCUCCUCCCACUCACCUUCCACCUCCUCCAUUUCUUCCACCUCCUCCGACUGUCAGCACUGCUCCACCUCUGAUUCCACCACCGGGUUUUCCUCCUCCACCAGGCGCUCCACCUCCAUCUCUUAUACCAACAAUAGAAAGUGGACAUUCCUCUGGUUAUGAUAGUCGUUCUGCACGUGCAUUUCCAUAUGGCAAUGUUGCCUUUCCCCAUCUUCCUGGUUCUGCUCCUUCGUGGCCUAGUCUUGUGGACACCAGCAAGCAGUGGGACUAUUAUGCCAGAAGAGAGAAAGACCGAGAUAGAGAGAGAGACAGAGACAGAGAGCGAGACCGUGAUCGGGACAGAGAAAGAGAACGCACCAGAGAGAGAGAGAGGGAGCGUGAUCACAGUCCUACACCAAGUGUUUUCAACAGCGAUGAAGAACGAUACAGAUACAGGGAAUAUGCAGAAAGAGGUUAUGAGCGUCACAGAGCAAGUCGAGAAAAAGAAGAACGACAUAGAGAAAGACGACACAGGGAGAAAGAGGAAACCAGACAUAAGUCUUCUCGAAGUAAUAGUAGACGUCGCCAUGAAAGUGAAGAAGGAGAUAGUCACAGGAGACACAAACACAAAAAAUCUAAAAGAAGCAAAGAAGGAAAAGAAGCGGGCAGUGAGCCUGCCCCUGAACAGGAGAGCACCGAAGCUACACCUGCAGAAUAGGCAUGGUUUUGGCCUUUUGUGUAUAUUAGUACCAGAAGUAGAUACUAUAAAUCUUGUUAUUUUUCUGGAUAAUGUUUAAGAAAUUUACCUUAAAUCUUGUUCUGUUUGUUAGUAUGAAAAGUUAACUUUUUUUCCAAAAUAAAAGAGUGAAUUUUUCAUGUUAAGUUAAAAAUCUUUGUCUUGUACUAUUUCAAAAAUAAAAAGACAGCAAUGACUUUAUAUCCAAGAAAGGAAUGUGAAUGAGUCACUUAACAGGGAAUCUAAAGAGCUGUGUUAGCUGUGUACAUACACAGAUUAUCUGAGAAAAGGUCAAGGGUUCCACUUGGGCCACAGUUUUUUUGUUAAUCAAACACCACUCUCUUAAGAGGCUGCAUCACAAAAGGCAACAAAGGGCCCCUCUAAGGCUUGAGAUUAAAACUAGUCUUUAUCAUUACUGCUGUGACACUCUUGCUUAGUAUAUUAAGAGACUCAUACAUUUUUGAUAUCACAACUUUUUGAUGGCUUUUCAAUAUUCUAAAUUUGGGUUCCUGGUGAAACCAAAUGGGGUACACUUUCAUAUCCAAAUUAAUAAAACCUAUAAGGCAUCUGGGUGGCCUCUAUGAAAUAAAUUAAUUAAUUACCCAUAGUGUAGUUUCUAGGAGGCAUGUGUACACACACUCUUCAUUGUGGCACAAAUUUAAAUCGCCUCAUGACCAUGUCUGUGAGCCAGGGUCAAGCUGGUUUGGCCUUCUUGAUGCAUUUUCCAAGGCCCACUGGUGGAGCAGCAUGAGUUUUUAUACAGUUACUAACGAUUGUGGAAAAAAAGAGCUUUAGCCAUUUCUUACUAAAAACAAAACAAGUUUAUAAUUAAUUCUCUGAGCGAGCAUUUUUAGGGAUAAGCCUAGGAGGUAUUCAUCGGUGAUGGUAACAAAUAACAUGGUAUUUGAAAGAAUAAAUUACUAGGAUCUUUUAAAUAGUGAUAAUACAAAAGUAAUCUUAAUUAGUAUCACAUACUAAAAGACAACUAUAACUUCUGAAAAAUAUUUAUUCUUGUUUGAUGAAAGCAACGUUUCUCAGCAAUGCAUUUUAAAAAAUAUUUUAGCUGUAAAUUAAAAAUGGCCAUAAUGUACCCUUGGCAGACUUCAGCAUAUACCAAAUUUUAAAUUUAAAUCAGCUUGAAUUCAGUGGGGUAUACAAAUCAUUUUAGUUGUUUUAGGGCUUUUUAUUGAAUAGAAAAAAUAUAAACAAUGUUGUAGAGUAAUGAGAAAUCCUCCACACUGAAAAAAAACUAGUAGUUUUAAUUUUUUUGGAAUCAUAUUUUCUGAGGUGUAACUGGCUUUCAUUAGAUGAUCAUACUUUUCCUGACAUUUUUACAAUGUAUUCUUUCUUUAAAUAUAAAAACUGACAAGAUAAAUAUAGUGUUUCAACUUCUUA
This is an RNA transcript of Homo sapiens (human), 3515 nucleotides long. It is a transcript of the gene named factor interacting with PAPOLA and CPSF1, with no coding region annotated. NCBI's taxonomy places the organism in Eukaryota, Metazoa, Chordata, Mammalia, Primates, Hominidae. The record is from RefSeq and is marked reviewed. The transcript has 19 exons.